CUUGACGGCCCCGAGCCACAGCGGCCGUUCGGGCGACCGGCGUGCCCCGUACGUGGCGAGGAGGGCCUGCGCCUC
Molecule: non-coding RNA, 75 nt
Organism: Streptomyces acidiscabies
Lineage: Bacteria; Bacillati; Actinomycetota; Actinomycetes; Kitasatosporales; Streptomycetaceae
Rfam family: ASpks TB sRNA
Source: Rfam